RNAcentral lists this unclassified non-coding RNA (493 nucleotides) under Hevea brasiliensis (rubber tree). Lineage: Eukaryota; Viridiplantae; Streptophyta; Magnoliopsida; Malpighiales; Euphorbiaceae. The record is from RNAcentral.
UUUUGCCCUUAAUUUCCUAUAUGAAAUUAAGGGCAAAAAAGAAAAUAAGGAUGAAACGAAUUCCCUGUAAUAUUUGAUGCAGACAGUACAGCACAUAAGACAGCUCCCCCUCACCAGACAGUUCUCAAACUUCCUGAUGCUGGCUCGUUAAGAAGGUAAGAAACAACUAUGACAGAACCAAAACUUCCCCCUGUUGAACACAAAUUGCUGUAUGACUUUCUUGUAUAUGAGUGCGCCUGAGAAUCUGUAUAUGCUGAGGAAUUACUAGUUCGUGCAAUCAAAUCCAUGGCAAAUGGAAAGCCAGAUUAUGAGAACCAGAAGUAACAAGAUUCCGAGAACAACCAACUUAAUCUUCAUGUUCUGAUACCACAUUUUCCGCCGGAUCUGUGUCCCCUGUUUCUUGUAUGCUUGGGCCUGAUCACGUAAAUUCUCAGUUUUGUCAGCAAGAGUCGUUAUGGUCUCACCUCUAUCAAUUACCUUGUCAAUAUUCCCU